RNAcentral lists this ribosomal RNA (210 nucleotides) under uncultured bacterium. RNAcentral's name for it is "partial 16S ribosomal RNA". It matches the Rfam family "Bacterial small subunit ribosomal RNA", at positions 568 to 775 of the family's 1533-position model. The record is from RNAcentral.
UGCGUAGGCGGCGCGGUAAGUCGGGUGUGAAAUCUCGGAGCUUAACUCCGAAACUGCAUUCGAUACUGCCGUGCUUGAGGACUGGAGAGGAGACUGGAAUUUACGGUGUAGCGGUGAAAUGCGUAGAUAUCGUAAGGAAGACCAGUGGCGAAGGCGGGUCCCGUGGACAGUUCCUGACGCUGAGGCACGAAGGUCAGGGGGAGCAAACGG